UCAAUUGUGGUAGCCUACACGCUAGAUCCACCUGAAACAAUACGUUCUUGGUAGGAAUCCGGCCGGUCUUGCAAGGCAAUCUACGCAGACAUCGGUGGCAAGUGCCUGGACGCGAGGAACCGGUCCAGGGCAGAGCCGACUCGAACAAACAGUGAGCCCCCGCGGCGAGGACAUGGCAUGUAGUGGAGCCGGACGACGGCGCGGACAGGACCGUAGGGGAGCCUAUGGCGGCGGUUCCUUGGACGGAGAUGGCCUGGAAGGGUGGAAUCGGUCCAGGGCGGAGCCGGCUUCGGCAAGCAUGGAGCCCCGCGGCGAGGAUGGGGCGUGCAGUGGAGCUGUACGGCGGCAGCGACUGGCGCGUGGGGAAUCCCACGACGCCGUGCAAUUGCUCCUCCACACGCUGGCGUCCGGAACCUGUCUUCGAAUCCCCAUCCGCCACCACCCAUGUAUCUCCGGCAAACGGCGCCAUCUCCCUCAUCCGAUGGGAGGAACUGAACCGCCUGCUGCCGACCCCUCUGCCAUCUCCGACGCCUUCCGAUUUGGCCGUCUCCAAGGGAGGAGAGCAAGCUACCCAUGUGCCGGGACCUCUGCCUCAGUCUGCCGUUCCAAAACGAGAAGGAUCAGCCGCCCGAGCGAAUCGGCGAUUUCCCUGAAGUCAAUCUUCUUCUUUGCUGGCCUGGGUGUGGGCACCUCCGCACUGGGACGGGGCCGAGUUCCUCCUGUAUAGAUACUCCCUACUGAACUGGGCAAACAUGUGCGCCCAGCCGUGUGACGCUGCCUGCAGCAUGGGGCGAUUUGGAUGCAGACAUGCAAGGGGCGAUGCAUACAGUCUCCAGUAUCACCAAUGUAACAAAUGUAGGAUGACUAUGCUGCACAGGAUGAUGAUUAUGAGGAGAAUCUGAAGGAAGCACUUGGGUUAUUAUUUCUAGCAACGUGAUCUCUGGCCCUUUGAUUUGUAGAUGGAUGAAUUGAUCAUGUGAGAUAUCGUCAUCCUCUUCCCUGGAUAAUUGCCCAGGCAAUAUAUUCUCUGAAGUGAAGAAGAGAUGGAGAGCCAUGAGGCUUGAAGAAAUUAGGGUGGAUCUUAUGACAUGUGCAAACACUCUAGGUAUAAUGAGAAAAAUUAUUCAA
Molecule: long non-coding RNA, 1128 nt
Organism: Lolium perenne
Lineage: Eukaryota; Viridiplantae; Streptophyta; Magnoliopsida; Poales; Poaceae
Source: RefSeq, a predicted model, not a curated record